This 199-nucleotide ribosomal RNA is filed under the name uncultured bacterium. RNAcentral's name for it is "partial 16S ribosomal RNA". It matches the Rfam family "Bacterial small subunit ribosomal RNA", at positions 336 to 526 of the family's 1533-position model. The record is from RNAcentral.
CUCCUACGGAAGGCAGCAGUAGGGAAUAUUGCGCAAUGGAGGAAACUCUGACGCAGCGACGCCGCGUGGGUGAUGAAGGUUUUCGGAUCGUAAAGCCCUGUCGGAUGGGACGAAAAACGAGUUGGCUAACAUCCAACUCGCUUGACGGUACCACCAAAGGAAGCACCGGCUAACUACGUGCCAGCAGCCGCGGUAAUAC